This 252-nucleotide ribosomal RNA is filed under the name uncultured bacterium. RNAcentral describes it as "partial 16S ribosomal RNA". It matches the Rfam family "Bacterial small subunit ribosomal RNA", at positions 524 to 775 of the family's 1533-position model. The record is from RNAcentral.
UACGAAGGGUGCAAGCGUUGCUCGGAAUUAUUGGGCGUAAAGGGUUGGUAGGUGGUCUUGUUUGUCUAAGGUGAAAUCCCAUGGCUUAACUGUGGAAGUGCCUUAGAAACGGCAAGACUAGAGUCCUAGAGGGGUUUGUGGAAUUCCCGGUGUAGCGGUGAAAUGCGUAGAGAUCGGGAGGAACACCAGCGGCGAAGGCGGCAAACUGGAUAGGCACUGACACUCAACAACGAAAGCGUGGGGAGCAACAGG